UAAAAGAUAAGCUAAUAAAAGCUAAUGGGCUCAUACCCCGUAAAUGAGAAAUACACUCUCUUUUUA
RNAcentral lists this transfer RNA (66 nucleotides) under Maja crispata. RNAcentral's name for it is "tRNA-Met". Lineage: Eukaryota; Metazoa; Arthropoda; Malacostraca; Decapoda; Majidae. The record is from RNAcentral.